GCUAUUUAAACCAUAUGCCAAUGUUGGCAGAAGAACUUGCGGGUAGAACUACAAUUGAAGACCAUAAUGUUGGCAAUUAAAAGGAAGUUCCUGGUCUGGAGGAAGGAUCUGGCCUACUCCGCUCACAUUAUUGGUCCAAAUUCUUGGGAAUAAGACAUUUUCUGAGAAUAUAUAUGACAAGGUUGUCCAUCUUUACAAUAAAGCCAACUUUCCUCCCAGGGCAUUUUACUGCUUAGAUCUCAGCCUCACUGAAAGCACACAUAUGGAGACACAGAAAGCCUCAAGCACAGUCACCAGUGUUGGCUAACUGGUAUUAUUCCUGGACUGGAGACAAAGAAGAGCAGACCAGAACAUCACACCACAGUUCUGAGGUCUUCAGUCAUGUGCCAUUGCCAUGGAAGCCUUCCCUGCACACCUGGGAGGGAUUAGCUGUCAACAUAGUUGUUGUGCAUGAAAUCCUGAAGCCUGGCUGACAGGGAUGAAAGUCAUUAAGUUUGAGUAGUGACACCUCCUUCCAACCCAAGAUGUUUUUUACAUCCAAGUUGGGAGACUGUUUGCAACCUAAUGUAAAACUUACAUUUUUUUGGUGGUGAUUGAGGAACAUCAGCUGGAGAAAGUGAUCAGGUCAGUUUCAAGGGAAGUAAUUAGCACAUACACUGCAGCAGGGGAAUCCUUCCAACCUCAGUCACUAGCACUGUGCAAAUGGUUUGCAGCUCGAAAAAUCAUUGUUUAUCAUGGGCCGAAAGGUUUUCAAGCCAAGUAAUAAAACAGAAUAGCUCUUGUAGUCCUACCUGUCC
Molecule: long non-coding RNA, 797 nt
Filed under: Anser brachyrhynchus (Pink-footed goose)
Lineage: Eukaryota; Metazoa; Chordata; Aves; Anseriformes; Anatidae
Description: lncRNA (ENSABRG00000011006.1)
Source: RNAcentral